AUUGAACGCUGGCGGCAGGCCUAACACAUGCAAGUCGAGCGGAUGAAGGGAGCUUGCUCCUGGAUUCAGCGGCGGACGGGUGAGUAAUGCCUAGGAAUCUGCCUGGUAGUGGGGGGUAACGUCCGGAAACGGGCGCUAAUACCGCAUGCGUCCUGAGGGAGAAAGUGGGGGAUCUUCGGACCUCACGCUAUCAGAUGAGCCUAGGUCGGAUUAGCUAGUUGGUGGGGUAAAGGCCUACCAAGGCGACGAUCCGUAACUGGUCUGAGAGGAUGAUCAGUCACACUGGAACUGAGACACGGUCCAGACUCCUACGGGAGGCAGCAGUGGGGAAUAUUGGACAAUGGGCGAAAGCCUGAUCCAGCCAUGCCGCGUGUGUGAAGAAGGUCUUCGGAUUGUAAAGCACUUUAAGUUGGGAGGAAGGGCAGUAAGUUAAUACCUUGCUGUUUUGACGUUACCAACAGAAUAAGCACCGGCUAACUUCGUG
This 484-nucleotide ribosomal RNA is filed under the name uncultured bacterium. RNAcentral's name for it is "partial 16S ribosomal RNA". It matches the Rfam family "Bacterial small subunit ribosomal RNA", at positions 30 to 507 of the family's 1533-position model. The record is from RNAcentral.